GCAAUAUCCUUCAACAAUUUUGCUACAAAUCACAUAUAUGCAUAAGUAGAUAAAUAAGAUUCACUGCAAUCUUAAAAGAGACAUAGGCAUUCAACACCUGAUAAAUUUUUGUGUUCCUUUACAAUUCUAACACACGAAACCAGGAUCAAAAUACCUUGAUCAUGAACCCACAUAUACACUAGUAUACAGAAACUUAAUUG
This 200-nucleotide long non-coding RNA is filed under the name Carica papaya (papaya). RNAcentral's name for it is "long non-coding RNA (CPAP_LNC014720)". The record is from RNAcentral. Lineage: Eukaryota; Viridiplantae; Streptophyta; Magnoliopsida; Brassicales; Caricaceae.